GAUGAACGCUGGCGGCGUGCCUAACACAUGCAAGUCGAGCGAUUUACUUCGGUAAAGAGCGGCGGACGGGUGAGUAACGCGUGGGUGACCUGCCCUGUACACACGGAUAACAUACUGAAAGGUAUGCUAAUACGGGAUAACAUAAGAGAGUCGCAUGGCUUUCUUAUCAAAGCUUUUGCGGUACAGGAUGGACCCGCGUCUGAUUAGCUAGUUGGUAAGGUAACGGCUUACCAAGGCGACGAUCAGUAGCCGACCUGAGAGGGUGAUCGGCCACAUUGGAACUGAGACACGGUCCAAACACCUACGGGAGGCAGCAGUGGGGAAUAUUGGACAAUGGGCGAAAGCCUGAUGCAGCAACGCCGCGUGAGCGAUGAAGGCCUUCGGGUCGUAAAGCUCUGUCCUCAAGGAAGAUAAUGACGGUACUUGAGGAGGAAGCCCCGGCUAACUACGUGCCAGCCGCCGCCGUAA
RNAcentral lists this ribosomal RNA (468 nucleotides) under uncultured bacterium. RNAcentral's name for it is "partial 16S ribosomal RNA". It matches the Rfam family "Bacterial small subunit ribosomal RNA", at positions 28 to 523 of the family's 1533-position model. The record is from RNAcentral.